CCGGCUCCCUCCUCAACCCAGAAACCUGCAUUUAAAAACAGCAACAACCAAGGAAAGCCUUUUCAGAGCUAAAUGGACGAUUCCCGUUCUGAAUGGAAACUUUGCUGGAGGGAGGUCAGAAAAAGAAGCCCUCUGCGGUGACAUCAGCCUCCGUCCAGAGGAUUAAAGUGAUGUGCCAAAUCCAGCCUGGUGAGCUCACUGCGAGGAGAACCAAAUGGAGAGACACAUGAUGGGCUGGGAAGGAGCCAGCCUCUCCUUUCAACAUAAACAGCUUCCCAAAGUGGAAAGAGAAACAAGAUGACCCGGCCGAAAGACAGGAAUGUAUGCUCGGGACAGUGAUAUUUACAGGCCUGACUCCAGCUUUCUACAAAUUAUCCUAAUUAAAUAUGGCUAACUAUGAUGGGCAUUUUCCAAGCAGAUCUGAAACCUGAUCUUGCCAUGCCUCGUUCUGUUUAAA
This 457-nucleotide long non-coding RNA is filed under the name Pogona vitticeps (central bearded dragon). Its description in RNAcentral is "lncRNA (ENSPVIG00000008982.1)". Lineage: Eukaryota; Metazoa; Chordata; Lepidosauria; Squamata; Agamidae. The record is from RNAcentral.